GACGAACGCUGGCGGCGUGCCUAAUACAUGCAAGUCGAGCGCAGGAAGCCGUCUGAACCCUUCGGGGGGACGACGGUGGAAUGAGCGGCGGACGGGUGAGUAACACGUAAAGAACCUGCCCAUAGGUCUGGGAUAACCACGAGAAAUCGGGGCUAAUACCGGAUGUGUCAUCGGACCGCAUGGUCCGCUGAUGAAAGGCGCUCCGGCGUCGCCCAUGGAUGGCUUUGCGGUGCAUUAGCUAGUUGGUGGGGUACCGGCCCACCAAGGCGACGAUGCAUAGCCGACCUGAGAGGGUGAUCGGCCACACUGGGACUGAGACACGGCCCAGACUCCUACGGGAGGCAGCAGUAGGGAAUCUUCCACAAUGGACGAAAGUCUGAUGGAGCAACGCCGCGUGAACGAUGAAGGCUUUCGGGUCGUAAAGUUCUGUUGUAAGGGAAGAACAAGUGCCGCAGGCAAUGGCGGCACCUUGACGGUACCUUGCGAGAAAGCCACGGCUAACUACGUGCCAGCAGCCGCCGUA
Molecule: ribosomal RNA, 523 nt
Filed under: uncultured bacterium
Lineage: Bacteria
Description: partial 16S ribosomal RNA
Rfam family: Bacterial small subunit ribosomal RNA
Source: RNAcentral